Molecule: long non-coding RNA, 1087 nt
Filed under: Equus asinus (donkey)
Lineage: Eukaryota; Metazoa; Chordata; Mammalia; Perissodactyla; Equidae
Description: lncRNA (ENSEASG00005026127.1)
Source: RNAcentral
CCUGGGCUGUCCAGUAUGUCACCUGCUGUUCCUGCUGAGUCCCUCCUGUGUGACCCAGGACAAGCCACCGAGUUCCUCUGAGCCUCUGUAAGAGCGAUUAAUGAAGAAGACACGCAUUGCCCUCCUGGCCCCGGGCCUGGCACCAGCAUCUUGACAGGUUUCCAGGGCCAAUUCUGGAGGGAAGAGGGCUGGGCCACCUCUGAAAUGUCCAACAGCAGCCGGAGGCUGGGAAGGGUGUGCAUAUAUAGGAGAGGUGUGUGUCACGGACCCUGGCUGGGGGCAGAAGGGGAGGGAGACAUCCCCGUGGGACUGAGCCGUGUGAAGGAGAAGUGAAGACAGCACACCCAGCUGGAGGAGCGGGAAGAAGUGAGGGCCUCUCCCUGUCCAUUUUCUCACAACUCCUCCCAUCUCAGCUCUGGGGCUCAGGCCCCCAUCCUCUCCUCCAACAGCGCCUCCUCGUCCCGAGUGCCAGUCAGGCAGCUGAGACCCAGCUUCCCCAGAGAACUUGCUUCUCCUAAAGUCCUCCCCAGUGGGGGCUGUUCAUCCUCCUACAUCCCUGACCCUGGGCGCCACGAGAAGGUCCGAUUCUCCUGGCCUCCAAACUUCUCCUUCCACAGCAGCCAUGUAGCCACCUCCCUGGACAGUCCCCCCUUCUCCCAGCCACAUCCCUGACCUCCACAGGCCCAUGGAUCACCAUGUGCAUCACAGGAGAAGGGCAUGUGGGCCUGACCUGGUCUUCUCUGCACCACUCAGCUUCCUUGUGGAUGGCCUUCCGAGCCCCUGGCCCCUUGCUGCCUGUUCAACUCAUCUCCAGUGUGACCUUCUCCUUCAUUCCUGUCCCCCCACAUAUGAGUCAUGGCCACACCUGGGACCUUGGUGUCAGGUCUGAGGCCUCUGAUGCCGACGCUUCAGCCACAGCUCCCCAUCUCCGUUGCCCCCUCCCCACCUGUCCUUGGCCCUCAUGGCGCUGCCAGUGUAGACAAAUGGAGAUGGUGUGGUGUGAGCAGCUUAAGCCUCAUGGUCCAUCACUUCAGCCACGCUCUUGUCGAUACUUUGUGCUAGAUAGAAUAAUGUCCCCAGAGAUGCC